UAUAUUUUAAUGUAUAAGCAUAUAAAAUUUUGAAUUUUAGAGAAUUAAGAAUAUUAAUAAAUA
Molecule: transfer RNA, 63 nt
Filed under: Andrena chekiangensis
Lineage: Eukaryota; Metazoa; Arthropoda; Insecta; Hymenoptera; Andrenidae
Description: tRNA-Gln
Source: RNAcentral